GAUGAACGCUGGCGGCGUGCUUAACACAUGCAAGUCGAACGAAGCACUUUAUUUGAUUUCCUUCGGGACUGAUUAUUUUGUGACUGAGUGGCGGACGGGUGAGUAACGCGUGGGUAACCUGCCUUGUCCAGGGGGCUAACAGAUGGAAACGGCUGCUAAUACCGCAUAUGCGCACAGCAUCGCAUGCUGCAGUGUGAAAAACUCCGGUGGUAUAAGAUGGACCCGCGUUGGAUUAGCUAGUUGGUGAGGUAACGGCCCACCAAGGCGACGAUCCAUAGCCGAGCUGAUAGGGUGACCGGCCACAUUGGGACUGAGACACAGCCCAAACUCCUACGGGAUGCAGCAGUGCGGAAUAGUGCACAAUGGGCGAAAGCCUGAUGCAGCGACGCCGCGUGAGCGAAGAAGUAUGUCGGUAUGUAAAGCUCUAGCAGCAGGGAAGAUAAUGACGUUACCUGACUAAGAAGCACCGGCUAAAUACGUG
Molecule: ribosomal RNA, 481 nt
Filed under: uncultured bacterium
Lineage: Bacteria
Description: partial 16S ribosomal RNA
Rfam family: Bacterial small subunit ribosomal RNA
Source: RNAcentral